RNAcentral lists this non-coding RNA (69 nucleotides) under Staphylococcus arlettae. RNAcentral describes it as "S. aureus tsr31 small RNA". It matches the Rfam family "S. aureus tsr31 small RNA". Lineage: Bacteria; Bacillati; Bacillota; Bacilli; Caryophanales; Staphylococcaceae. The record is from RNAcentral.
UCCUUUAAAUAGGACGACGUGUAUAAACUAUACGCUCCCCCUUACAGUUAUGUGAGAGGGAGCUUUUUU